Molecule: ribosomal RNA, 496 nt
Filed under: uncultured bacterium
Lineage: Bacteria
Description: partial 16S ribosomal RNA
Rfam family: Bacterial small subunit ribosomal RNA
Source: RNAcentral
AUUGAACGCUGGCGGCGUGCCUAACACAUGCAAGUCGCACGCGAAAGGGGGCAACCCCAAGUAGAGUGGCGGACGGGUGAGUAACGCGUAGGAAUCUACCUAGUAGUGGGGGACAACCCGGCGAAAGCCGGGCUAAUACCGCAUACGACCUAAGGGUGAAAGCAGGGGAUCGCAAGACCUUGCGCUAUUAGAUGAGCCUGCGUCCGAUUAGCUAGUUGGUGAGGUAACGGCUAACCAAGGCGACGAUCGGUAACUGGUUUGAGAGAACGACCAGUCACAUUGGGACUGAGACACGGCCCAAAAUCCUACGGGAGGCAGCAGUGGGGAAUAUUGGACAAUGGGGGCAACCCUGAUCCAGCGACGCCGCGUGUGUGAAGAAGGCCUUCGGGUUGUAAAGCACUUUCGGCAGGGACAAACAAGACGGAGCUAACAUCUCCGUUCCUGAUGGUACCUGAAGAAGAAGCACCGGCUAACUCUGUGCCAGCAGCCGCCGUAA